AACGAACGCUGGCGGCAUGCCUAACACAUGCAAGUCGAACGAGACCUUCGGGUCUAGUGGCGCACGGGUGCGUAACGCGUGGGAACCUGCCCUUAGGUUCGGAAUAACCCCCCGAAAGGGGUGCUAAUACCGGAUAAUGUCUUCGGACCAAAGAUUUAUCGCCUUUGGAUGGGCCCGCGUUGGAUUCGCUAGUUGGUAGGGUAAAAGCCUACCAAGGCGACGAUCCAUAGCUGGUCUGAGAGGGUGAUCAGCCACACUGGGACUGAGACACGGCCCAGACUCCUACGGGAGGCAGCAGUGGGGAAUAUUGGACAAUGGGAGAGAGCCUGAUCCAGCAAUGCCGCGUGAGUGAUGAAGGCCUUAGGGUUGUAAAGCUCUUUUACCCGGGAUGAUAAUGACAGUACCGGGAGAAUAAGCUCCGGCUAACUCCGUG
This 433-nucleotide ribosomal RNA is filed under the name uncultured bacterium. RNAcentral describes it as "partial 16S ribosomal RNA". It matches the Rfam family "Bacterial small subunit ribosomal RNA", at positions 29 to 507 of the family's 1533-position model. The record is from RNAcentral.